RNAcentral lists this ribosomal RNA (423 nucleotides) under uncultured soil bacterium. RNAcentral's name for it is "bacterial SSU rRNA". It matches the Rfam family "Bacterial small subunit ribosomal RNA", at positions 26 to 451 of the family's 1533-position model. The record is from RNAcentral.
AGAUUGAACGCUAGCGGGAUGCUUUACACAUGCAAGGCGAACGGCAGCGCGGACUUCGGUCUGGCGGCGAGUGGCGAACGGGUGAGUAAUAUAUCGGAACGUGCCCAGUAGCGGGGGAUAACUACGCGAAAGCGUGGCUAAUACCGCAUACGCCCUACGGGGGAAAGGGGGGGAUUCUUCGGAACCUCUCACUAUUGGAGCGGCCGAUAUCAGAUUAGCUAGUUGGUGAGGUAAAGCUCACCAAGGCGACGAUCUGUAGCUGGUUUGAGAGGACGACCAGCCACACUGGGACUGAGGCACGGCCCAGACUCCUACGGGAGCAGCAGUGGGAAUUUGGACAAGUCGGGGAAACCUGACUCCAGCCAUCCCGCGUGUGCGAUGAAGGUCCGUUCGGGUUAGUAAAGCGUAACGUUUGGACGAAGG